Long non-coding RNA from Equus caballus (horse), 2459 nucleotides. NCBI's taxonomy places the organism in Eukaryota, Metazoa, Chordata, Mammalia, Perissodactyla, Equidae. The record is from Ensembl.
GGGGGCCAGGAAUAAAUUCGGAAUUAGUAAGCCGCCCCACGAGGCGCAGAAGCAGCAGGUCGGAGCUAGAGGCUUAGGGGGCCCUCGUCAGACGUUUUAUAGCUUCCAGACUUUGCGGGGGGCUGUUUGCUGGCAUGAGUCAGACCCUGACCCUGGUCUGCAAGUAAUUUUUCCAGAAUGCUCAUUUUGGGGAAAAAUGAGUGUUACCAUGAGUAUACAAAUUAUUUCUCAGGGCUCUUUAUUUCACUUAAAAACGGGUUUUCUGGCAAAGCUCAGGGUAUUUCAGAUUGCCGGUGGAGGUUUCAGGAGGUCUUGCCAAUCAAAUUUCCAAGUGAAAGUCUUUCUUCCAAGCUUUUGUGCCUUCAAACUUGAUGCUUUCAAGCUCCAAUUCUGAUAAGAAGCAGGUAUUCUAGCAUCUUCUAGGUGGCCAGUGAAAGUCUGGUGCUCUGGGGAAGAGAUGCUUUCCCAAAGGUUAUAUUCUUUAUCAAGGAAAUUAAAGAAGAAAAAAAUGCCCCUUCUGUCCUUUUUGAGAUGGUAAUUGAUUUUUAGUUCUUUAAGCCAAAAGGAGGUAUCCUUGACAUAAACUGCCCAACUAAGACAAGGCAGCUGCUCUGCCUCGGGAAGUUUCCCUAGUGUUAGCUUAGGAGUCAACAAAAAUAAUUACUGUCACUUAGUUGUAGGAAACACUCAGGUUAAAAACAGCAUCAGUCAGCCGUAAAGUGUAAGAUGAUAUAAUCGAGCCACCUACUUCAGCUGUAGCUCACUGGUAACCUGGGAGGACAUUGAUUCAGUUAUAAUCCUUAACUUUGUGAGUGCUUUUGCAGAGUGAGUUUAUUUGGUUUUGCAGUAAACUUUUGCUGGGUAUAAAUAUGGAUGUGACUGAUUGGAGAAUACACAAUUUUCAAUAUUUAAGGAGAGAUGCUGAAGCCAUUCAUUAAAUUCCCAACUCAGAAGGAACUGGAACAUGGAUGUUCUCUUGCCGUCUGUUCUUCCACCUCCUCAUUGCAUUUGUUAAAAAGAAGUGGGUAGCAUUACUUUUCGCCUUGACUCUGCGUCUGUCAAAUGGUUUACUAGCUAUGAACUUGGGCAAGUCUUUCUCUUUGCCUUCAGGCAUUUCAUCUAUAAAACAGUGGGGUUGAAGUAGAUGGUCCCUAAAUUCUCCUCCAGCUUUUAACCUGCGACAUCAUGUCCUAGUGCUGAAGAGGUCAGACUCCUGGGUUUGAACACCAGCUUCAUCGUUUUUAAGCUGUGAGGACUUGGGCAGGUUAUUUAAGUUCUCCAUGCUUCACUUUCCACAUCUGAGAAUGGGAACCUACCUCAUGGUUUCGUUGUGAGGGUUAAAAAUGAGUUAAUACAUUAAAGUACUUAAAAAAAUGACAAUAAGGACACAGAUAUUGUUCACUUUCUCUGUUACAAGAUAUCAGUUGAACUCUGAUUUAGUUUCUUCUCAGAAAUGGGGAUUAGUUUACUCUCAGAAGGGUAGGUGAUGGGAAAAGUUUUGGAAGUGAUGAACAGUCACAAGUUAAACGUGUGCUGUCAUCACACAUUUUGGAACCCUCCAGGUUGUUUCCUACAGUUGUCAUUUCCUGGAACACUAUCUGAAAACCAGUGCACCUGAUUGUGUUGCUUAUACAUUCAUUCGUUCUUGGAUUAAAAUGUUUGCCGUCCUCCCGGUCUCGAAAACUUGUGCCUGUGGUCCUGCUGCCUCUUUUCCCCUUCCUUUCGCUGCAGUAGCUUCUGUAAUUGCAGUAGGGUUUUAGCUACAAUUGUAAGGAAACUUGAAGGUUUUGACGGGAAGCCUAACAUGACAGUGCUGCUGGGGGCUCUGUGUACGCUGCCUGUCGUACUGUGACUGGGGUCACAUGUUGCUUUUCUUACCUCUUGAAGCAGCAGCACUUGGUACUCUUAAUCACUUCCUCUUUAAUCCCUCCACCCUUGGCUUUGGGAUCCUGCGUCUCAGUACUUUCCAGUGUUCCUUCACGUUGUAACACACAGGGAAUUAUUUUUAGAAAGAACCUACACAGACUGAAGGGGUCCGUAUCUUGGGGCACCAGUUGGGAAGUGGCACUAUCUAAUGCCUCCUGUUUGUACUGGCUAGUUUUCCCUUCUUUUGGUUACUGGUUGUUUCUCAGGGCUCAGGCCUUGCCUCUCUGCUCUGCUCUUGAAACCCACCCUUAGCAGGUGUGUUCUUUGUUAUGCCGUCACGUUCACUUCUUUUGCUGACAGCUUCCAAAACUACCUUGAGCCCCUUUCUCUGUGUUCCACUUGCCUGCCGUCACUUGCCUACUGAACGUCUUCUGUCAUCCCUCUAUCUCAGACCCAUCACGUCUGGACUCGUUACCUCUUCUCUUCCUCACCAUCCACAGCCCAACACCUAACUUCUUUCUCCUUUCCCUGUCUCUGGCUUUUUCACAGUUUGAAAUAUUGACAUAAUCUUUGAUUAUUUCUCUCCUUCAUUC